This is a long non-coding RNA of Triticum dicoccoides, 2195 nucleotides long. RefSeq lists it as uncharacterized. The record is from RefSeq and is a predicted model, not a curated record. The transcript is spliced from 4 exons. NCBI's taxonomy places the organism in Eukaryota, Viridiplantae, Streptophyta, Magnoliopsida, Poales, Poaceae.
UCGAUCCGCUCUUUGUGCGCUCUCCGCCUCCCACCGAACCGAAAAGGGCUCGAUCCCCAUAGGUGUUCGUGGAUCAGUUCCCCCGACAGUUUUUUUCUCGAAGAGUUGGUUCAACGUUGUGUUUUGUUCUUGGGGAUAAAUGUAAAACUGAACAAUAGAUUUUGAUUCCAUAUGCUCUGUUUUCCUUCCAAAAGUCUGUAGAUUAUUGAUACAACAAACUUAAUUUUAAUGGACGCAUAAAUAUAGUGCCAAUGUAUCAUAAUGAUAAAAAUGUUUGUUUUGGCGGCUUUUUUCGCUAUUUUCCUUUUACGACCAAAAGGUUGUAGUGAUGCAAGGACAUUUUGCCAUCUCAGUGGGAGCAAACGAUGGAAGGUUCCACCUGUUAUAAACAGCAAUUAUGUUUUGUUGAUCCCUACAUGGCCUCCUACAGCGUCAAGAAUCCCAUCUCUGUCAUCUAGCUUGCAAACAUGAAGAUUACCCUUUACAAGACUUCAGAAACAUCCAUAUAUGCGUGCCCUCUUUAUGCUAUGAUAUAAAUUCUAUGUUUAAUGGCAUUUUCACGAGUAUUUCACAUGAGCAUAUGAAAAGAGGAGGUGUUAAAACCGCUCAUAAUAUGGACCGUGAUCCUUUCACAUUCUUGUUCCCAUAAUAUGGACCCUGAUCCUUUCACACUCUUAUUCCCAUGAGCAUAUGAAAAGAGGAGGUGUUAAAACCGCUCAUUUCACACUCUUGUGAUUUCUUACUUCAAAUUGGGAUUCACUGCAUAAAACAAAAGCGACGUACAAAUAUGACGUAUCAACGGGGCGCGGCGUGCCGCCGCGCGGGUAUGGCUAGUUAGGAUUGUUCAAUAAGAAAUUAGUUCAUUGACUGUAAGCUAGGUUAUAUGGUACUCCCUCCUUUCAUCUAUAUAGGGUCUAAUGCGUUUUCCGAGGCUAACUUUGACUAAAUAUUAGAGCUAUAAUAUAUGACAUGCAAUUUACACAAAGCACACCGUUAAAUUCGUGUGUGAAAGUAGCUUUCAAUGAUAUAAUUUUCACAUUGUGCAUGUCAUGUACUAUUAAUCUUAUCAAUGGUCAAAGGUGGUCUUAGAAAAUGCAUUAGGCCCUAUAUAGAUGGAAGGAGGGAGUAUCUGUAAAUGUUUCGUUUUGUAGUUGAGAAUCAGACGGACGCUCGGGACAUUCAACCCUCGGCAAGAGCGUUAUACACAUAAGGCUGAAGAAUAUACCACUCCAACUGGUAUCUUUGCAACGGGUUCCUGUUCUGCUAAAUCAAAGAUAAUAAGGGCAUCUGCUAGACAUAAUUUUUUUUUACAAGGAGAUGGUGUGCAGUUAUUUUGUUCCUGUGAAUCUAUCUUAUGCCGAAGUAUGUAUGCAUGUGUGAAUUUUUUUUUGCAGUUUAUGAACGCUGAUGGGAAAGUGUACCGACAUGAGGUACUCCGUUCUGAAUAGGACAGACUCGGGAAGAGUCUAAUUAACAAGAGCAAGUAGUACUCCUUUUGGUUCUACAGUACGAUAGAUCUUUAUUUUCUGAUGUCGACAAGGUGGUUGAUGAAAAUUCAAACAGCUGCAACUGAGGAAAACCAGAGAAACAAAAACAGGUUAGGCAACAUCCAAGAAGCAAACUAAACGUUCAUGUAAUCUGUUGGCGAGAGCCUUAUUUAGUUUCAUGCAGACGGUGCCCCACUCUACCUUCCGGAGGUUUCCAUGCUAUGGAUUCACAACCAUGGGCGUGUCUCUUCCAUGUGCUGUAGAGCAGGUGGACGUGGAUUAGGGGCCAGACCGAGCUGGACGACGGGUGUUUUCGGAGACAGAGGAUAAGGCCAACGAUAGCAGCUACACAGUGGGGUCUGGCAGGAUCAAUAAGGUGACCUGCAGGGCUUGGAACAUCCGCGAGACAUGGCCGCACCAGGGGAGCGCGUCUUCGGAAAGAUGAAUACGCCAGGCCAAUAAUAUAGACCUAUUAGCAUUCUUCAAACUACUAUAUGUCUACUCUGCUUUAUAAAAGGAAACUCUUCUGCUGCACUUCUAUUUUAAUCAUUGUAUCUUAACUGCAAUGUUCGAAUAUUAACAAGUACAUCAGUAUAACUGAUGCACAGAGUGACGCAGAGGAGGCGCGCCCCAACCAUUAGUGUUGAGUAAGAGUGUAGGACAUGUGGUUCAGCUAGGUAGGUACGUAGCUGAUAGAACUGAAGGAAA